UUCCCCUAGUAACUGCGAGUGAAGCGGGAAAAGCUCAAAUUUAAAAUCUGGCAGCCUUUGGCUGUCUGAGUUGUAAUCUAGAGAAGUAUUAUCCGCGCUGGACCGUGUACAAGUCUCCUGGAAUGGAGCGUCAUAGAGGGUGAGAAUCCCGUCUUUGACACGGACUGCCAGGGCUUUGUGAUGUGCUCUCAAAGAGUCGAGUUGUUUGGGAAUGCAGCUCAAAAUGGGUGGUAAAUUCCAUCUAAAGCUAAAUAUUGGCGAGAGACCGAUAGCGAACAAGUACCGUGAGGGAAAGAUGAAAAGAACUUUGGAAAGAGAGUUAAACAGUACGUGAAAUUGCUGAAAGGGAAACGCUUGAAGUCAGUCGCGUUGGCCAGGGAUCAACCUUGCUUUUUUGCUUGGCUUACUUUCUGGUCGAUGGGUCAGCAUCAAUUUUGACUGGUGGAAAAAGUUCAAGGGAAUGUGGCAUCUUCGGAUGUGUUAUAGCCUUUGUUCGCAUACAUCGGUUGGGAUUGAGGAACUCAGCACGCCGCAAGGCCGGGUUUUUAACCACGUACGUGCUUAGGAUGCUGGCAUAAUGGCUUUAAUCGACCCGUCUUGAAACACGGACCAAGGAGUCUAACAUGCCUGCGAGUGUUUGGGUGAAAAACCCGAGCGCGUAAUGAAAGUGAAAGUUGAGAUCCCUGUCAUGGGGAGCAUUGACGCCCGGAUCUGACCUUUUGUGACGAUUCUGCGGUAGAGCAUGUAUGUUGGGACCCGAAAGAUGGUGAACUAUGCCUGAAUAGGGUGAAGCCAGAGGAAACUCUGGUGGAGGCUCGUAGCGAUUCUGACGUGCAAAUCGAUCGUCAAAUUUGGGUAUAGGGGCGAAAGACU
RNAcentral lists this ribosomal RNA (873 nucleotides) under Laccaria sp. AWW570. Its description in RNAcentral is "eukaryotic LSU rRNA". It matches the Rfam family "Eukaryotic large subunit ribosomal RNA", at positions 75 to 932 of the family's 3401-position model. The record is from RNAcentral. Lineage: Eukaryota; Fungi; Basidiomycota; Agaricomycetes; Agaricales; Hydnangiaceae.